GGUCACUGCUAUCGGUGUUCGUCUAAGCCAUGCGAGUCAUAUGUUCUUCGGAACAUGGCGUACUGCUCAGUAACACGUGGAUAACCUGCCCUUGGGUCUGGCAUAACCCCGGGAAACUGGGGAUAAUACCGGAUAACGCAUAUCUGCUGGAAUUCUUUAUGCGUGAAAUGGAUUCGUCUGCCCAAGGAUGGGUCUGCGGCCUAUCAGGUAGUAGUGGGUGUAAUGUACCUACUAGCCGACGACGGGUACGGGUUGUGAGAGCAAGAGCCCGGAGAUGGAUUCUGAGACAUGAAUCCAGGCCCUACGGGGCGCAGCAGGCGCGAAAACUUUACAAUGCGGGAAACCGUGAUAAGGGGACACCGAGUGCCAGCAUUAUAUGUUGGCUGUCCGGGUGUGUAAAAUACACCUGUUAGCAAGGGCCGGGCAAGACCGGUGCCAGCCGCCGCGGUAACACCGGCGGCCCGAGUGGUGAUCGUGUUUAUUGGGUCUAAAGGGUCCGUAGCCGGUUUGGUCAGUCCUCCGGGAAAUCUGACGGCUUAACCGUUAUGCUUUCGGGGGAUACUGCCAGACUUGUAACCGGGAGAGGUAAGAGGUACUACAGGGGUAGGAGUGAAAUCUUGUAAUCCCUGUGGGACCACCUGUGGCGAAGGCGUCUUACCAGAACGGGUUCGACGGUGAGGGACGAAAGCUGGGGGCACGAACCGGAUUAGAUACCCGGGUAGUCCCAGCCGUAAACGAUGCUCGCUAGGUGUCAGGCAUGGCGCGACCGUGUCUGGUGCCGCAGGGAAGCCGUGAAGCGAGCCACCUGGGAAGUACGGCCGCAAGGCUGAAACUUAA
Molecule: ribosomal RNA, 837 nt
Filed under: uncultured archaeon
Lineage: Archaea
Description: bacterial SSU rRNA
Rfam family: Archaeal small subunit ribosomal RNA
Source: RNAcentral